UGGGGAAUAUUGCGCAAUGGGGGAAACCCUGACGCAGCCAUGCCGCGUGUGUGAAGAAGGCCCUCGGGUUGUAAAGCACUUUCAAAUUGGGAGAAAAAGCUUGUCGUUAAUAGCGGCAAGCCUUGAUGUUACCUUUAGAAGAAGCACCGGCUAACUCCGUGCCAGCAGCCGCGGUAAUACGGAGGGGGUUAGCGUUGUUCGGAAUUACUGGGCGUAAAGCGCACGUAGGCGGACCAGAAAGUUGGGGGUGAAAUCCCGGGGCUCAACCCCGGAACUGCCUCCAAAACUAUUGGUCUAGAGUUCGAGAGAGGUGAGUGGAAUUCCAAGUGUAGAGGUGAAAUUCGUAGAUAUUUGGAGGAACACCAGUGGCGAAGGCGCCUAACUGGUCCGGUACUGACGCUGAGGAACGAAAGCGUGGGGAGCAAACAGGAUUAGAUACCCUGGUAGUCCAUGCCGUAAAACGUUGGGCACUAGGUGUGGGUCUCAACCAACGAGAUCCGCGCCGUCGCUAACGCAUUAAGUGCCCCGCCUGGGGAGUACGGUCGCAAGAUUAAAACU
This 558-nucleotide ribosomal RNA is filed under the name uncultured bacterium. RNAcentral's name for it is "bacterial SSU rRNA". It matches the Rfam family "Bacterial small subunit ribosomal RNA", at positions 355 to 901 of the family's 1533-position model. The record is from RNAcentral.